CUCGCGUCUGAUUAGCUAGAUGGCGGGGUAACGGCCCACCAUGGCGACGAUCAGUAGCCGGUCUGAGAGGAUGAACGGCCACAUUGGGACUGAGAUACGGCCCAGACUCCUACGGGAGGCAGCAGUGGGGAAUAUUGGGCAAUGGGGGAAACCCUGACCCAGCAACGCCACGUGAAGGAAGAAGGCCUUCGGGUUGUAAACUUCUUUUAGCAGGGACGAAGGACGUGACGGUACCUGCAGAAAAAGCAACGGCUAACUACGUGCCAGCAGCCGCGGUAAUACGUAGGUUGCAAGCGUUGUCCGGAUUUACUGGGUGUAAAGGGCGUGUAGGCGGAGCUGCAAGUCAGAUGUGAAAUCCCGGGGCUCAACCCCGGAACUGCAUUUGAAACUGUAGCCCUUGAGUAUCGGAGAGGCAAGCGGAAUUCCUAGUGUAGCGGUGAAAUGCGUAGAUAUUAGGAGGAACACCAGUGGCGAAGGCGGCUUGCUGGACGACAACUGACGCUGAGGCGCGAAAGCGUGGGGAGCAAACAGGAUUAGAUACCCUGGUAGUCCACGCUGUAAACGAUGAAUACUAGGUGUGGGAGGACUGACCCCUUCCGUGCCGCAGUUAACACAAUAAGUAUUCCACCUGGGGAGUACGACCGCAAGGUUGAAACUCAAAGGAAUUGACGGGGGCCCGCACAAGCAGUGGAUUAUGUGGUUUAAUUCGACGCAACGCGAAGAACCUUACCAGGACUUGACAUCCAACUAACGAAGUAGAGAUACAUUAGGUGCCCUUCGGGGAAAGUUGAGACAGGUGGUGCAUGGUUGUCGUCAGCUCGUGUCGUGAGAUGUUGGGUUAAGUCCCGCAACGAGCGCAACCCCUAUUGUUAGUUGCUACGCAAGAGCACUCUAGCGAGACUGCCGUUGACAAAACGGAGGAAGGCGGGGACGACGUCAAAUCAUCAUGCCCCUUAUGUCCUGGGCUACACACGUAAUACAAUGGCCGUCAACAGAGGGAAGCGAAACUGCGAAGUGGAGCAAAUCCCUAAAAACGGUCUCAGUUCGGAUUGCAGGCUGCUUA
RNAcentral lists this ribosomal RNA (1063 nucleotides) under uncultured bacterium. Its description in RNAcentral is "bacterial SSU rRNA". It matches the Rfam family "Bacterial small subunit ribosomal RNA", at positions 230 to 1311 of the family's 1533-position model. The record is from RNAcentral.